AACGAACGCUGGCGGCAGGCCUAACACAUGCAAGUCGAACGCCCCGCAAGGGGAGUGGCAGACGGGUGAGUAACGCGUGGGAACGUGCCCUUCGGUUCGGAAUAACUCAGGGAAACUUGAGCUAAUACCGGAUACGUGCGGAAGCAGAAAGAUUUAUCGCCGAAGGAUCGGCCCGCGUCUGAUUAGCUAGUUGGUGAGGUAAUGGCUCACCAAGGCGACGAUCAGUAGCNGGUCUGAGAGGAUGAUCAGCCACACUGGGACUGAGACACGGCCCAGACUCCUACGGGAGGCAGCAGUGGGGAAUAUUGGACAAUGGGCGCAAGCCUGAUCCAGCCAUGCCGCGUGAGUGAUGACGG
Molecule: ribosomal RNA, 356 nt
Filed under: uncultured bacterium
Lineage: Bacteria
Description: bacterial SSU rRNA
Rfam family: Bacterial small subunit ribosomal RNA
Source: RNAcentral